GCUUGCGGCCACACUGGCCUGAGCACGCCUGAUCUCGUCUGAUCUCGGAAGCUAAGCAGGGUCGGGCCUGGUUAGUACUUGGAUGGGAGACCGCCUGGGAAUACCAGGUGCUGUAAGCU
RNAcentral lists this ribosomal RNA (119 nucleotides) under Oncorhynchus mykiss (rainbow trout). The record is from RNAcentral. Lineage: Eukaryota; Metazoa; Chordata; Actinopteri; Salmoniformes; Salmonidae.